CUGGGGCUCAUGCGCAUGGGGGAACCCUGACGCACAACGCCGCGUGAGUGUGAAGCUUUCGGGUCGUAUACUAUCUCGAGGGACGAACCCUAGGGUAACGCCUAGAAUGAUUAUCCCUCAAGGAAGCACCGGCUAUUUCUGUGCCAGCAGCCGCGGUAAUCAGAGGGUGCAAGUCCUGUUCGGACCUCCUGGGCGUAAAGGGCGUGUAGGUGGUUCGGUAAGUCAGCGUGAACUCCCUGGGCUCAACCCAGGAACUGCCCCUGAACUGUCGGACUAGAGUGCGGCAGAUGAUAUCUGGACCUCCCGGUGUAGAGGUGAUUCUUCGUAGAGAUCGGGAGGAUCACCACUGGCGAAAGCGGCUUCUCUGGGCCUGCACUGACCCUAGACGCGAAACCUUGGGGAGCGAACAGGAUUAGAUACCCUGGUAUUCCACGCUUGUAAACAAUAUCACUAGAUUUCGGAUGAAUUUGACCCCUUCGGUAUCUUACCUACGCAUUAAUUCCUCCCCUUGGGAACUCGGCCGCAAGGCUAAACUCAAAGGAAC
RNAcentral lists this ribosomal RNA (544 nucleotides) under uncultured bacterium. RNAcentral's name for it is "bacterial SSU rRNA". It matches the Rfam family "Bacterial small subunit ribosomal RNA", at positions 355 to 910 of the family's 1533-position model. The record is from RNAcentral.